AAGACUAUACUUUCAGGGAUCAUAUCUAUAAUAUAUAUAUAUAUAUAUAUAUAUAUAUAUAUAUAUUCCCCAGAUAGACAGUCAGAGAGAAAGACACCAUAGCACUGAAACUUUCCUCAGUGCUGUGUGUGUGUGAGGGAGGAAUAGGUGGGGGAAACCCAUGCCUAUGACUAA
This 174-nucleotide small nucleolar RNA is filed under the name Erinaceus europaeus (western European hedgehog). RNAcentral describes it as "Small nucleolar RNA U3 (ENSEEUG00000022908.1)". The record is from RNAcentral. Lineage: Eukaryota; Metazoa; Chordata; Mammalia; Eulipotyphla; Erinaceidae.